Molecule: long non-coding RNA, 312 nt
Organism: Lynx canadensis (Canada lynx)
Lineage: Eukaryota; Metazoa; Chordata; Mammalia; Carnivora; Felidae
Exons: 2
Source: RefSeq, a predicted model, not a curated record
GUGGUGUGUGACAUGAGGGCGCUCGGGUCCGGCGACGCCACAAAAGCUGCGUUUGAGAGCAUGGCUGAUGUCAUUAUGUAAGAAGAGGUGCCAAAUGGCAGCGGAUUUCAGCUUUGCGGACUGUGCCCUGGUUUAAACUUUGCACGCCGGCCUAGGGAAGUCCCGUACAAAAGCCCACAGAUGCGCAUAAAUUACUGACAGUGCCCAUCCUCCCCUGCCAGCUGGCAUGGAGAUCCAGAUGCUGACCUGGCUGAAAGAGAAUACUGUGUUGGCGUCUCCUGAUGCAGAGUUAAAUGCUUGUUAAAGAAAAAA